CGCGGGAUGGUGUAAUGGUAACAUGCUGGACCCAUUCUCCGGCGCUCCGAGGUUCAAGUCCCGGCCCCGCAA
This 72-nucleotide transfer RNA is filed under the name Lachnospiraceae bacterium. Its description in RNAcentral is "tRNA-Met". It matches the Rfam family "tRNA". From Rfam's summary of the family: Transfer RNA (tRNA) molecules are approximately 80 nucleotides in length. Their secondary structure includes four short double-helical elements and three loops (D, anti-codon, and T loops). The record is from RNAcentral. Lineage: Bacteria; Bacillati; Bacillota; Clostridia; Lachnospirales; Lachnospiraceae.